Molecule: long non-coding RNA, 548 nt
Organism: Ictalurus punctatus (channel catfish)
Lineage: Eukaryota; Metazoa; Chordata; Actinopteri; Siluriformes; Ictaluridae
Source: Ensembl
GUAAGAAGAUGUAUUUUAAACAAUUGAAAUAGUUCAUUAUAAAUUGAAAUGCAAUGUUUAUGUAAUUAUCCAUUUGAUAUUGAUAUUGAUAUAAAUCUAAAACUAUUCUUUCUGAAUACAACAAUCAUCAUCCUUAUCUGGUCAUUAUGUAAACGGGUACGCUACUAUAUCUAAAUUUAGUGUUCAAUACACUUAUAUUACAGAGCAAGACCGAACUAAGCUCGUCUGAUUCUAGUGUAUAGGAUAACGUAUCAAACGAAUGCGAGUCUACAAGAUAACAGUGCCGUCAUAAUUUCUGACGAUGAAAUUUCCGAGACAUCUGAUCGAAGCCUUUUGAAUCUGAGCUCUACACCACAAAUGAAAAUCCCUCUCUAGACGAGCAGAUUUGUCAGAUGAAACCUUUUCUUCUUAUCCACUGCUACGGUAAACUAAAGAGUAGAUUUUCAAAUUACACUGCUAAAUAUGACUAGCAUUAGCUACGUGUAGUAGUGCAAAAUAAUCCAUCAACUGUAUUAGCAGGUGUAGCCUAUACACGAGUCCACUGCUGG